AACGUAGGUGGCGAGCGUUAUCCGGAAUUACUGGGCGUAAAGCGUGUGCAGGCGGGCUAGCAAGUGGUGUAUGAAAGCUCCCGGCUCAACCGGGAAGGGUUAUGCCAGACUGCUAGUCUUGAGUGCGAGAGAGGAGCGUGGAAUUCCGGGUGUAGUGGUGAAAUGCGUAGAGAUCCGGAGGAACCCCAGAGGCGAAGGCGGUUGCCUGGGGCUUUGCUGACGCUGAUGCGCGAAAGCGUGGGGAGCAAACGGG
Molecule: ribosomal RNA, 253 nt
Filed under: uncultured bacterium
Lineage: Bacteria
Description: partial 16S ribosomal RNA
Rfam family: Bacterial small subunit ribosomal RNA
Source: RNAcentral